CGAAGGACCCGAGCGUUAUCCGGAUUCAUUGGGUUUAAAGGGUGCGUAGGCGGAUUGAUAAGUCAGUGGUGAAAGCCUGUUGCUUAACAACAGAACUGCCAUUGAUACUGUUGAUCUUGAAUAUGUUUGAUGUGGGCGGAAUAUGACAUGUAGCGGUGAAAUGCUUAGAUAUGUCAUAGAACACCGAUUGCGAAGGCAGCUCACAAAACCAUUAUUGACGCUGAGGCACGAAAGCGUGGGGAUCAAACAGGAUUAGAUACCCUGGUAGUCCACGCUGUAAACUUUGAUCACUCGCUGUUGGCGAUACACUGUCAGCGGCUAAGCGAAAGCGUUAAGUGAUCCACCUGGGGAGUACGAUCGCAAGAUUG
RNAcentral lists this ribosomal RNA (368 nucleotides) under uncultured organism. RNAcentral describes it as "bacterial SSU rRNA". It matches the Rfam family "Bacterial small subunit ribosomal RNA", at positions 526 to 896 of the family's 1533-position model. The record is from RNAcentral.